GAAGGAUCUCUUCCUAGAGAUUACUCCUUGUGGAGAAUAUUGCAAGCCUACAACAUUGGUCUUUAAGUUUUGUGUUCAGUGAGUUAGGGUUUGCUGAGUGUGAAAAUCCUCUGGAAAAGCUCAGAAGAGAGAGCAAUUGUGAAUGAUGGCAGCUUGCUGGGCUUAACCUGAUAAGCAGGUUAGCAGACAAGUUUCACAAGCCAGCCAAAUCACAUCUGUCCAAGUCCUCACCUCCAAAGACGGACCCUUUCCAGGU
Non-coding RNA from Meleagris gallopavo (turkey), 256 nucleotides. Lineage: Eukaryota; Metazoa; Chordata; Aves; Galliformes; Phasianidae. The record is from RefSeq and is a predicted model, not a curated record.